This 980-nucleotide ribosomal RNA is filed under the name Xylotrupes beckeri. Its description in RNAcentral is "partial 16S ribosomal RNA". Lineage: Eukaryota; Metazoa; Arthropoda; Insecta; Coleoptera; Scarabaeidae. The record is from RNAcentral.
UAAAAAAAGUUAAUUAUUUAAUUUUCUCGAAUUAAAAAGAGCUAUGAUUAUAUAAAUUUAAAUGUUGCAUAAUUUUUUAUAAUAUAAUUAUGGUAGUGAAACGUUAGUCGUUUUUUAAGAUAUCUAGUUUCUUAAGAAAUAAAUUUAAUUUAAUUUUUUAAUUACUUAUUAUUAAUUAUUUAGUAAUGUGUAUUAAGAAUUAAAUAUUUUAAGGGAUAAGCUUUAAAAUAAAUUAUUAAAAAUGUAUUUUAUAUUUGUAUAAGAUAGGUAGGAUUGGAAAUUUUUAUCUAUAGUUUGUUAUAAUUAAUCUUAUAUUAAAUAAGAUUUAUAUUAAUUUUAAUUUUUUUAUUAAGAAUAUUUAUAUAAUUAUAUAUUAUAUGGAAUAAUGAUAGAAUUAGUAUAGUUUUAUGUAUAUUAUAAUUUAAUAUAAAGGUUGAAUUAAGGAACUCGGCAAAUAUAUUUUUCGCCUGUUUAUUAAAAACAUGUCUUUUUGAUUAUAAUUUAAAGUCUAACCUGCCCAAUGAGGAGUUAAAUGGCCGCGGUAUUUUGACCGUGCAAAGGUAGCAUAAUCAUUAGUUUUUUAAUUGAAAGCUGGUAUGAAUGGUUGGACGAGAAAAUAACUGUCUCGAUUUAAAUUAAAUUAGAAUUUUAUUUAUGAGUAAAAAAGCUCAUAUGAGUUUAAAAGACGAGAAGACCCUAUAGAAUUUAAUAUAUAUAUAUAUAUAUUAUUUUUAGAAUUAAUAAUAAGUUAUAUAUAAUUAUAUUUUGUUGGGGUGAUAGAAAAAUUAAAUUAACUUUUUUUAUAUAAAAACAUUAAUGUAUGAAAAAAUGAUCCGUUGAUUACGAUUAUAAGAUUAAAUUACCUUAGGGAUAACAGCGUAAUUUUUUUUUAGAGUUCUUAUCGAAAAAAGAGUUUGCGACCUCGAUGUUGGAUUAAAAUUAACUUUUGGUGUAGGGGCUAAAAGGUUAGGUCUGUUCGA